RNAcentral lists this non-coding RNA (768 nucleotides) under Paracolopha morrisoni. The record is from RNAcentral. Lineage: Eukaryota; Metazoa; Arthropoda; Insecta; Hemiptera; Aphididae.
UUUAAAUAAAUUUAUAAUUUAUUUUAUUAUAAAAUUUUAUUUUAUUAAAAAAAUAUAUGAAAUUUAUUAAUAGAUUAAUAUUUCUUAAUGAAUAAAUUAAGUUCUCAGUAUUAAAUAUUAAAUAUUAAAGAAAUUUAGAUUUAAUUAUUAAUUUUAGUUUAAACAAAAUAUGUGCCAGCAGUUGCGGUUAAACAUAUUAAACAAAUAAAAUAGUUUGGUAAAUAGUAUUAAAUAUAAUUUAUAAAUAAAUUUUUUAUUUUAAGGUAAAAUUUAGUUAAAAAUUAAAAUUGUAAAUAUUUUAUUCUAUUAAAUUUUAUUUAAAACUAGGAUUAGAUACCCUAUUAUAAAAAUUUAAAUUAUUUACUAAAAAAUUAAUAGUUAAGUUCUUUAAAUUUAAAAAAUUUGGCGGUAUUUUAGUCUUAUUAGAGGAACCUGUUUUUUAAUUGAUAAUCCACGAUUAAUUUUACUUAUUUUAAUUUAAUUUAUAUAUCGCUGUCAUGAAUAUAUUUAAAAAUUUAUUUUCUUAAAUUAAUAUUUUAAUUUAUGUUAAGUCAAGAUGUAGUUUAUAAAUAAGAAAAUAAUGGGUUACAAUAAAUUUAAUUUAUGAAAUUUAAAAUGAAAAUAUAAAUAAAAUUGGAUUUAAUAGUAAAUUUAAUUAUUUUAUUAAUAUGAAUAAAGAUCUAAAAUAUGUACAUAUUGCCCGUCAUUCUUAAUAAAAAUAAGACAAGUCGUAACAAAGUAAAUGUACUGGAAAGUGUAUUUAGAAAG